CACGGGGGUUGCAAGCGUUGUCCGGAAUUACUAGGCGUAAAGGGCAGGUAGGCGGAUCUAUAAGUUUGAUGUUAAAGGCAGUGGCUCACCCAUUGUACGGCAUUAGAUACUGUAGAUCUGGAAUACGGUUGGGGAAGACAGAAUUCCUGGUGUAGCGGUGGAAUGCGCAGAGAUCAGGAGGAAUACCAAAGGCGAAGGCAGUCUUCUAAGCCGUUAUUGACGCUAAACUGCGAAGGUGUGGGUAUCAAACAGGAUUAGAUACCCUGGUAGUCCACACAGUAAACGAUAAUCACUAGGUGUCGGGUUCGAAGAGAAUUCGGUGCCGUAGCUAACGCGAUAAGUGAUUCGCCUGGGGAGUACGAUCGCAAGGUUGAA
This 375-nucleotide ribosomal RNA is filed under the name uncultured bacterium. RNAcentral describes it as "bacterial SSU rRNA". It matches the Rfam family "Bacterial small subunit ribosomal RNA", at positions 524 to 898 of the family's 1533-position model. The record is from RNAcentral.